GAAUUGCAGAAUUCCGUGAAUCAUCGAGUUUUUGAACGCAAGUUGCGCCCGAGGCUCGUCCAAGGGCAUGUCUGCCUGAGCGUCCG
Molecule: ribosomal RNA, 86 nt
Filed under: Xylolejeunea grolleana
Lineage: Eukaryota; Viridiplantae; Streptophyta; Jungermanniopsida; Porellales; Lejeuneaceae
Description: partial 5.8S ribosomal RNA
Rfam family: 5.8S ribosomal RNA
About the family: 5.8S ribosomal RNA (5.8S rRNA) is a component of the large subunit of the eukaryotic ribosome. It is transcribed by RNA polymerase I as part of the 45S precursor that also contains 18S and 28S rRNA. Functionally, it is thought that 5.8S rRNA may be involved in ribosome translocation.
Source: RNAcentral